This 497-nucleotide ribosomal RNA is filed under the name uncultured bacterium. RNAcentral's name for it is "partial 16S ribosomal RNA". It matches the Rfam family "Bacterial small subunit ribosomal RNA", at positions 28 to 507 of the family's 1533-position model. The record is from RNAcentral.
GAUGAACGCUGGCGGCGUGCCUAAUUCAUGCAAGUCGAGCGAACGGACGAGAAGCUUGCUUCUCUGAUGUUAGCGGCGGACGGGUGAGUAACACGUGGAUAACCUACCUAUAAGACUGGGAUAACUUCGGGAAACCGGAGCUAAUACCGGAUGAUAUUUUGAACCGCAUGGUUCAAAAGUGAAAGACGGUCUUGCUGUCACUUAUAGAUGGAUCCGCGCCGCAUUAGCUAGUUGGUAAGGUAACGGCUUACCAAGGCAACGAUGCAUAGCCGACCUGAGAGGGUGAUCGGCCACACUGGAACUGAGACACGGUCCAGACUCCUACGGGAGGCAGCAGUAGGGAAUCUUCCGCAAUGGGCGAAAGCCUGACGGAGCAACGCCGCGUGAGUGAUGAAGGUCUUCGGAUCGUAAAACUCUGUUAUUAGUGAAGAACAUAUGUGUAAGUAACUGUGCACAUCUUGACGGUACCUAAUCAGAAAGCCACGGCUAACUACGUG